AUUCCAAAGCAAAAGAACAUGGCUGGAACAUGCUGAAAACACGUUUCGAUCAAAUUGCACGACACUUCCAUUUUGGCACCGGACAGCAUCCCUCGAUCAAACGAGCACACACUAAUUUUUAUCUGGAUGCAUUAGAAGGUGAUCGGACUGAAUGCAAGAAUCCUGCCAUUUUGAAAAGAAACGGAAAAAAUCACUGCCUCACGAAUGAUCCUCUUACAACCACAGAAGAUUCCCUUCAACAACUUAACAGGCUCUUCAAGUUAAAUACACAGAACCACCACGUAAGCGUCAUAGCUCUCAAAAAAUCAUCAUUUUAUAAAACAUGACGCUUUGCAUGGUAGCAGAAUUUUGACAUUGACAAAAAUAUCACUAAUCCAAAAUGCUAAACGCUUCGUUCACGUCACUAAUCGACUGGGCCACAUGUCGGGCUUAGUUGGAAAAGGAAGAUCAAGUUUAAUUUGUCUAUGUGGCAUUUAUUUCCUGCCAACUCAGCCCGGCAUGUGGCCCUAACCGAUUAGUGACGUCAGUGAAGCGCCUAGCAUUACGGAUCAAUGUUUUUUGUCACUGUCAAAAUUCUAAUGUGGUACGAAGUGUCAUGUGUUUUUGUAAAGUAAUGAGUUUCUAAGAGCUAUGACGGUAAUGUGGUGGUUUUGUGCAUUUAACUCCACGCUUUCCCGCAAAAAAACAACAACUUAGCAAGCUGCUUCCUCACAGAAGUUAUCUUGUAUUGUACUCCAAUAUCUCAAGCAUACUCUAUACAAUAGACGAUGCCCCGACGCGUUGCUGCGGGAAACAUGCUAAAAGAAUACAUGAAAGUUGCUCAUGUCGUGUGGUUGCAUUUCUAGUAAAUAUAGCUAGUGGGUGCUAGCUAUUUAGAAAUAGAAGAUACGCAAAGGAAACAUAUGUGUCCACUUUAUUUAUUGUUCUCAAGAACAGUAGCAAGAGUUAGAACGGGUUAAAUCGUAUACGGCUAUGACAGACAUAAACUUGGAUGCUCGAAAAACUGGCCAACAUGGGAUAGCACUUACUGCCGGUGACACCUUGCUGAUGGUGGUUUUGACUUCUCUCUCCCUCCCCUCUUCGCCAAGUGUGUCUCGCCGCCAAUCUCCUCAGCCUGCACAUUCAGCCGAGCACCACCUACCCCUCAAUGCAACUGCUUCAUAAUUCGUCCAUCACCUCUCCUCAACAAGAGAUUGUGUGGGCACAUGAUGCGGUUCAUGACACGGGACAGCACACCCAUGGCACUCCGCCGCGGUUGGAUGCGGCCAAGAAUCAUCGGUGUGGCACCGGGAUCCUGGUCAACAGAGGAGACAUUGCACGUGUGGUGUGCAAUUGACUUGCUAUCAGUUGCCUUUGUUAUCUAACACUGAAUUCUUCAUUCGUGUUGUCCUAAGAUGGAUGUAACAGUACCUACCCUAUUCAGACUAUGAUUCACCAACAUAUGGUGCACAGACUGUGCGCCACCGCACAUCUUUAACCUUGAACCUUUUGGUGUACUCCAAUAUCUCAUACACUAUAAAACAUGGAGAAAUAUAUGCAUCAACUUAUAAAUUCUCAGUGGCGAUAGGG
Molecule: long non-coding RNA, 1569 nt
Filed under: Hordeum vulgare
Lineage: Eukaryota; Viridiplantae; Streptophyta; Magnoliopsida; Poales; Poaceae
Description: long non-coding RNA (HVUL_LNC002668)
Source: RNAcentral